GGGUACUACGAGCAUAAGCUUAAAACCCAAAGGACUUGGCGGUGCUUUAGAUCCACCUAGAGGAGCCUGUUCUAGAACCGAUAAUCCCCGUUCAACCUCACCUUCCCUUGCCCUCCCCGCCUAUAUACCGCCGUCGUCAGCUUACCCUGUGAAGGAAAAAUAGUAAGCAUAAUUGGUAAAACCCAAAACGCCAGGUCGAGGUGUAGCAUAUGAGAAGGGAAGAAAUGGGCUACAUUUCCUUUUUAAGGAAACACGGAUUGUGCCAUGAAACUAGCACAUGAAGGAGGAUUUAGCAGUAAGUAAGAAAAAGAACGUCUUACUGAACUUGGCCCUGAAGCGCGCACACACCGCCCGUCACUCUCCCCGAACCAAUACACCUCUUUCUUAAAAAACUAGACGGAUAAAGGGGAGGCAAGUCGUAACAUGGUAAGUGUACCGGAAGGUGCACUUGGAAAAAA
Molecule: ribosomal RNA, 458 nt
Filed under: Aphanius fasciatus
Lineage: Eukaryota; Metazoa; Chordata; Actinopteri; Cyprinodontiformes; Aphaniidae
Description: partial 12S ribosomal RNA
Rfam family: Bacterial small subunit ribosomal RNA
Source: RNAcentral